GCGCGAAACCCACCACAAGAUGAGAUUUCUUUUAAGGAUCGUGGAAGAUGACCACGUUGAUAGGCUAUAGAUGUAAAGGCAGUAAUGUCAUAGUCGAGUAGUACUAAUAAUCCGUAAGCUUAUGUACACCC
The sequence is a ribosomal RNA, 131 nucleotides long. It matches the Rfam family "Bacterial large subunit ribosomal RNA", at positions 2785 to 2925 of the family's 2925-position model.